AUAUGUUACUGCACAGAAUGUCCUUCCUCCUUCAGCCCUUCCUGUGCCCUGUUGCUGUGCGCAUUGCCCAGACAGUUCCCUGAUGGUCCCUUCUCUUCUGUCUUUACAGCAGCAGCAGCAACAGCAGCAGCAGCAGCAACAGCAGCAGCAGCAGCAGCAACAGCAACAGCAGCAGCAGCCGCAGCCGCCGCAGCCACAGCCGCAGCAGCAACCCCAGGUCUCCACAGUGCCUCAGCCACAGGCACAGGGCCAGCCCCCAGGGCUGGGGAUGCAGGCUCUUCCCCCCCAGCAGCCCAUUUUCCAGCGCCAGGGCCUUCAGCAGACACAGCAGCAGCAGCAAACAGCUGCUCUGGUUCGACAGCUUCAGCAACAGCUUUCUAGUAAGCCUUAAUGUUCUUGAUCCUGUCCCUAGUCUCCUCCCACCAUUUUCUGUUGCAGGUACCCUGGUGUAGAGAAGCAAGGCCAAACCAGACUGUCUGAGACCAUAAAUGGUGCUGGCAGGGAUUUGGCAUCAGGACUUGGAGCUCCUGGCCCAAGGGGGCACAGCAGCAGGGCAGGCAGAGUUUGCCAGCUUGUGAGCAACCUUCCAGACCUUCCUUCUGCUGCUUGCAGAGGGGCAAGGGAGCUUAGACUUUGUAGGGGCUGCCAUGCAGCUUUCCUGAAAGGAUGCAGUAUGAAGCUUUAAAGCAUUCAGAGGUAUUUCCUCUGCUGCAGAUGACCUCUGAGGUGCACAAGAAGGCUGUAACCCUGGGGCACUCACUUGGUGGAUGACCCAGAGAUACUGUGUUCUUGUGAUCAGGGCAAGACUUCUUGGAGGCAGGGAGGGUACUCUGGGAAGUGUUGCUGCACACUUGCUGUGUUUGCGGUGUUCUGUGGGCUUCUGUGGCUGCUGUCACAGACAGGGUAAUGGCAUAGGUGGUGUUUCAUCUGGCACUGUAUUCCUAUAAUCUGCACUGAACUACUGGCUGGGAGAUCUAGAAACAGAACCCAGUGUCUGUGCUGUUCCCUUCUGAAUGGCCUGCUGUUUUACUGUCACCUCACUGGCUUUUCUGCCAUAAAAAUGACAGAUAUGCUAUGAAAAUGCCCAGAAAUGGACUGCACAGGGUUUUUUUGCAGUGCAUUAAGUGUGAGACUGUGCUAGAUAUAAUAACGUGUGGAGUGGGGGCUUGGAAACUGUGCUUAUACUUGCUCCCUGAUGGAAAAUUCUUAGUCCUUGUGACCAAAAAACCCUCCCCAAACCAGGAGUUUUAAUGUGCUAAAUUUCCCACUAGCCUGAUUCACAAACCACAAGCCCGUGCAAGGAUCCCAGCCAGGACAUUCAAGCAUAGGAAGACCUCAUAUAAGAAUCUGAAUAUAGCAGAAAGACAUAUUUUUGUAUCUUGCCUGUACAGCAAAUGGAGCUGUUCUAUGUGGAACAGAUACAUGGGUCCAAUGCAGCCAUGUGUCAGCGUGCAGCUUCCAUGCUCCCUCAUUGGGUUUGCAUCAGUUCCACCAGGCACCAUCUGGAGUUCAUAUUUGUACUGUCUGGGAUGGAGUGGAAAGCAGGACAUAAACCAGGAACAACCUGUAGGAGGGGGACAAGAAUACUUUGGGCCCAGGAUAGGCUGCUUUAGGAGGCUCCAGGUUAUCCCUGAAUGUGCUGUUGUGCAGCGGAGUUGAGAAGGAGAGCAGGCUAGCCAGGUUACACUGGUCUCCUUUUACUUAGUCUGACUUAGGUUCAAACACGCUGAUGGGGUUUCAGGAAAAAAACUACAGAAUUCUAUUAAUCGGACAGUACCCAAGUGUACUCUGAGCACUGUAUAUCACAAAACAUCAGUCCCAGCAGUUUGGAAGUUCAUUAGGUUCUUGAAUAUAUCUUUACCAUGUUUCCUGUCCUUUUUGUGCCAUCUGGAAGUCCUUUGGGCAUGUCCUUCAUUUGUACUGAGAUAGUGACAGGGAGCCAGGGUAGUUUGAAACCUUCACUAACUCUGGUUUCUGGGUGUGCCUCAGGAUGAGUGUUUGACACUAGCUGUCUGAGCAGCUUGUGGGGCUGCAGGUGUUGUGCAAUCUUAUAGGGCUGAUUUUCUUUCAAAAUCGGAAAUAAUUCAUCCAUAAAGUCAUCCUCCCAGCUAGCUGCCACCUUUCAGGGCUUUGUUAUGGUGCACCAGUUCCACCACGAGUGAUGGAGAGACCUCCUCUGGAGAAGCUUCAGGAUCGGGACUGGCACAUACCUGUCUUCCUUAAAGAAUGUGGGGUCCUGACUGUGCUGCUGCCUAAAGGCUCAGACAAAUGACCAGAGCAGGGAGUGCCAUAAAGGUUAUAUUUUUCUUCUCACAGCCUGCGACACACUCCUCAUACUGUGCUGGUGAUGUGGGGAGAGGGAUCUCUUUUUCUGAACCACACCUUGUGACUGUCUAACUCUGUCUUGACCUCAACAGAUACACAGACACAGCAGAACAACAACCCGUUUGGACGCUACUGAUCUGUGGCACUUCAGCCUCAUCCAGGAGGGAGACAUCACUGUGGACUGGAUACAGCCUCUUCAGCCUGACCUACAAACUGGGGCUGCCCCCAACCUCUGUCCCUGGGCCUGUGCUCCCAGUGCUGCUGCUGCUGCCCGUCUCACAGGGAGAUGCCAGGAGGAUGGUUUUAUUGUACAGAGAAAGUGUUUUUAUUAUCCAAUUUCUACAAAUGUUUAUGGAGAUCCCUUGUGGCUGAUAGUCUCCCUUCCCACUUUGGUUUCAGUUUUUACUCAGUUUUUAGUAUUUUGUUAAAAUAAUGAUUAAGACAUUGUAAAAUUUUGUACUUUAUUUAUACCAGAUGAACCCCAUACUGCAGACAUUCUUGGAUGAAUACAGAGAGCUUACUUUGCAAAAGGAGUGUGUAUUCAGAGCCUGUCUUUCCUCCUCAGCACUCCUCCCAGUACAGCUCAGCAGCACCUAUAUACAUGGUCUUUAUCUCUUUCUCACUAGAGCUUUUGUGAACGGCUAAACAAUUUGGUUGGG
Long non-coding RNA from Aquila chrysaetos chrysaetos, 2984 nucleotides. The record is from Ensembl. Lineage: Eukaryota; Metazoa; Chordata; Aves; Accipitriformes; Accipitridae.